Megalobrama amblycephala (Wuchang bream) is the source of this 403-nucleotide long non-coding RNA. RefSeq lists it as uncharacterized. The transcript has 2 exons. NCBI's taxonomy places the organism in Eukaryota, Metazoa, Chordata, Actinopteri, Cypriniformes, Xenocyprididae. The record is from RefSeq and is a predicted model, not a curated record.
CAGGACCAGCCUUUAAAGAUGAAAUCAGUGUCAUCACAACCAUUGUGAAAAGCAAGAUGCCCUUUGGCCAAGGCAUGUACUGACAUUGCAGUGGCUAUUAAAAAACAUCACUAUUUAACAGAAUAAAGCUAUCAGAUAAACUGUUAGAUAAACAGAUAAAUACUAACCAGUCUUUAAUGGAGGUGUGGCUGCAGGUGGAGGACUGGGGACAUAACUUUCCUCUCCCACCAUGAGAUUCCCUUGGAUGGAGCCAGACUGCGUCAUAAGUGUGCCAUUGUGCCCUGAUGUUUCAGGCUUUGUGAUGGAGCUUAAAAUCUGCGUGAAUGCAAUGAACUUUGUAUCUUGAGAAGUCUUCAUGUUUUCUUUGUUGUUCGCCUCUACAUUUGUAUUAAAUGUCUCUAAA